CCUAUACAACCUACAUUCUGAACACCGUGUGCUUUCAGCCUCAACCUCACUUCAGACACAUCCACCGGCAGCAGUUGCACAUUUGGGUCCAUCAGGUGUCUUCUGUAGGUCCAUCCUAGCAGUGUACUCACCAAAACCUGCAAGUAUGAUCAUCAGGCUGGGACGCUUGACCCCUGGAUACUUCCGUCUCCUGCAGAGGCAGGUAGCCGGUGAGGUUCAGACGCAGCCACAGGACCGCGCCCUCAACCAGAUUGCCAUGAUGUUGGCCAUCAUGGGCCUCAGCCUGUCCUACUACAGCGCCAAGCAGAUGACCGAGAAAGUCCAGCGUGUCCCUGGGCCCUGAAGUGACCCUGAACUCUGUAUGCCGGAGCUGAAGAAACCAAAAAGCUGAAUCGGAGAUUGAGAUGGAGAGUUAAGGAGAGACAGAGAUUAAUGAAGUUGUAUGGCACUGUUUUACACUAACAUCGUCACCAUAAGCCUAAGACACUGGAGUUCACUCACCAUAAGAAGAGAGUUCAGGGCUGCUGCUGGGUGUUCCUCUGACUGCAGCUUAGCAUAGAAUGGGUGGGCGCAAGUUGGCACUGGGGCCAGAAAUCAAAGCCAGAAGGAAGCUGAAUAUGACCCGUGUCGAUGGUUGCUGUGGUACGUGCACCACAGAGCCCCUUCAGUAAAUUCAGGUGCUAGCAGACAAUAUAAUACUGUUUUAAAGGGAAUGACCCAGUAGCUGGCUACCUUGGCUAAGAAUCAGUGCCCUUUAAAGGGAAGCACCCGCUGUAUUUGUAUGUAUCAAACAACUAUUGAACACAGGCCGGGUAAAAACGAGUAGUAGCUGGGUACUAUGUCUGAGAAUAAAUGCCUUUGAAAGGGUGCAAUAUGUGAGCAACCAUUGACAGCAGGCUGGAUUAAAACAGGUGAUUUUUUUUUUUAGGCUGUAUAGCUGCAGGCAAGAUGCCACAGCAUCCUGAGAACUCUCACUGGAAAAGAAGUAAACAUGGUCUACACAACUGAAUGAAAUUCAAUUUCUUUUAGACACUGUGAACAUUUUUACUGUACUGUCAAUGCAAGCCUGUAAAUUCAUUUCUUGGAACAAAUCUAGACCUGGUUAAAAGGGACUUUUUCCUCCUUUCCAACUUUGUUUUGUAUUCCUCACUUUUUGUUCUUGUUUAUAUGUAUCUGCAAUGCCUAUUAGGUGUUUAAUGUGACAUUUCUAAUGCAUGAGUGUAAAAUAUUAAGUGAAACUGUGAUAAUGUUACUAAGGACUUCUAUGGUAAUGAAUGUACGUUGCUAUUUUUUUUAAAAAAAAACAAACAAAUAAAGCUGUGAAGAUUUU
Long non-coding RNA from Colossoma macropomum (tambaqui), 1330 nucleotides. RefSeq lists it as uncharacterized. The record is from RefSeq and is a predicted model, not a curated record. NCBI's taxonomy places the organism in Eukaryota, Metazoa, Chordata, Actinopteri, Characiformes, Serrasalmidae. The transcript is spliced from 3 exons.